CCUAACUUUAGGUACAUAUCUCUGGUUUCUUAAGUGAUGUCUGUAGGAAUAGAUUUAGGAAAAUAUCACAGCUUUUUAAAGAGUCAUUUUAGAAUGGUGUAUGGUCCAUUUCAUAGUAUAUAUGAGUGUCAUUGGUAGAAACAGCUUUGUGUACAUAUCAUUGGUUUCUUAUGUGUUGUCUGUAGGACAGACUUUAGGUAGAUAUCAAGGCUUUCUUGAGUGUUAUAAGAAGGACAGGCUUUAGGUACAUAUCAUGGCUUUCUUGAGCGUCAUUAAUAGGACUGGAUUUAGGUAGAUAUCAAGGCUUUCUUGAGUGUUAUAAGAAGGACAGGC
This 333-nucleotide long non-coding RNA is filed under the name Mytilus galloprovincialis (Mediterranean mussel). The record is from RNAcentral. Lineage: Eukaryota; Metazoa; Mollusca; Bivalvia; Mytilida; Mytilidae.